AACGUAGGAGACAAACGUUAUCCGGAGUUACUGGGCGUAAAGGGCGUGCAGGCGGUCUGUUAAGUCUAGGGUGAAAGCUCCCGGCUCAACUGGGAGAGGUCCUUGGAUACUGGCGGACUUGAGGGAGGCAGAGGAAAGUGGAAUUCCCGGUGUAGCGGUGAAAUUCGUAGAUAUCGUAAGGAAGACCAGUGGCGAAGGCGGGUCUCUGGACAGUUCCUGACGCUGAGGCACGAAGGCCAGGGGAGCAAACGGG
This 253-nucleotide ribosomal RNA is filed under the name uncultured bacterium. RNAcentral describes it as "partial 16S ribosomal RNA". It matches the Rfam family "Bacterial small subunit ribosomal RNA", at positions 524 to 776 of the family's 1533-position model. The record is from RNAcentral.